RNAcentral lists this ribosomal RNA (528 nucleotides) under uncultured bacterium. RNAcentral's name for it is "bacterial SSU rRNA". It matches the Rfam family "Bacterial small subunit ribosomal RNA", at positions 777 to 1304 of the family's 1533-position model. The record is from RNAcentral.
AAUAGAUACCCCGGUAGUCCACGCCGUAAACGUUGGGCGCUAGAUGUGGGGACCAUUCCACGGUUUCCGUGUCGCAGCUAACGCAUUAAGCGCCCCGCCUGGGGAGUACGGCCGCAAGGCUAAAACUCAAAGGAAUUGACGGGGGCCCGCACAAGCGGCGGAGCAUGCGGAUUAAUUCGAUGCAACGCGAAGAACCUUACCAAGGCUUGACAUAUACGAGAACGCUCUAGAAAUAGAGAACUCUUUGGACACUCGUAUACAGGUGGUGCAUGGUUGUCGUCAGCUCGUGUCGUGAGAUGUUGGGUUAAGUCCCGCAACGAGCGCAACCCUCGUUCUAUGUUGCCAGCGGUUCGGCCGGGAACUCAUAGGAGACUGCUGGGGUCAACUCGGAGGAAGGUGGGGAUGACGUCAAAUCAUCAUGCCCCUUAUGUCUUGGGCUUCACGCAUGCUACAAUGGCCGGUACAAAGGGCUGCAAUACCGUAAGGUGGAGCGAAUCCCAAAAAGCCGGUCUCAGUUCGGAUUGAGGU